AAACCAACAGGGAUUGCCUCAGUAACGGCGAGUGAAGCGGCAAGAGCUCAAAUUUGAAAUCCGGUACUUUCAGUGCCCGAGUUGUAAUUUGAAGAUAGUUUUCUGGCGCCGGCCCUUGUCUAUGUUCCUUGGAACAGGACGUCAUGGAGGGUGAGAAUCCCGUGUGGCGGGGAGCCCGGUGCUGUGUAGAUUUCUAUCGACGAGUCGAGUUGUUUGGGAAUGCAGCUCUAAGUGGGUGGUAAAUUCCAUCUAAAGCUAAAUACUGGCGAGAGACCGAUAGCGAACAAGUACAGUGAUGGAAAGAUGAAAAGAACUUUGAAAAGAGAGUGAAAAAGUACGUGAAAUUGUUGAAAGGGAAGGGUAUUGGAUCAGACUUGGUGUUGUGCGAUUAUCUUCUCCUCGUGGGUUGUGCACUCGUGCCUCACUGGGCCAGCAUCGGUUUGGGCGGCAGGACAAUGGCGGGGGAAUGUGGCACUUUACGUGUGUUAUAGCCCUUGCUGAUACUGCCUGCCUGGACCGAGGACUGCGGCUUCUGCCUAGGAUGCUGGCGUAAUGAUUCAAUACCGC
This 567-nucleotide ribosomal RNA is filed under the name Petasospora petersonii. RNAcentral describes it as "eukaryotic LSU rRNA". It matches the Rfam family "Eukaryotic large subunit ribosomal RNA", at positions 62 to 648 of the family's 3401-position model. Lineage: Eukaryota; Fungi; Ascomycota; Saccharomycetes; Phaffomycetales; Wickerhamomycetaceae. The record is from RNAcentral.